GGCAGCUCGCCAUAUUUAACAUAUAAAAAAACUUUAUAUGUUAAAUUUGGCGGGCUUCCGCCAAUGACCCGUGUCUUGUAUGCCCUGUGGAGAGAUGCACCCAUCUUCCCCCUAAAAAACAUAGAAAACAUUUGCUUGAGUUGUUGGACCGAGCGAACCUUGCAUAAUGCGUCAAGGGAAACUAUUGGUCGAGCGAGACAUUUGUUCAGGGUAAUAGGGAACAGAGGUUGAACCUGUGGUUUGACGCAACAAAGAACUUCCGUACUUACUCUAUUCUAUGACUACUGCAGUGACACCGGUCGGCUUGAAUCGAGCCCAAAUCAGUUUUCUGGAUUUGAAAUGAUAGCCAUUCAAGUUUAUAAUAAAAAGCAAUCAUGCUGUAGUGAACUACUUUUAAAAAAAAA
This is a long non-coding RNA of Helianthus annuus (common sunflower), 404 nucleotides long. RefSeq lists it as uncharacterized. The record is from RefSeq and is a predicted model, not a curated record. The transcript has 2 exons. NCBI's taxonomy places the organism in Eukaryota, Viridiplantae, Streptophyta, Magnoliopsida, Asterales, Asteraceae.